GUUUUGAAACGGGUUGUAGCUGGCCUCACGAUGCAUGUGCACGCCCGCUCAUCCACUCCCCACACCUGUGCACCCUUUGUAGGUCGGUUUGGGUUCGGACGCUUUGUGGCGUUCGGGCUCGGGCCUUCCUAUGUACUUCACACACGCUUUAGUAUCAGAAUGUAAUUGCGAUAAAACGCACCUUAUACAACUUUCAGCAACGGAUCUCUUGGCUCUCGCAUCGAUGAAGAACGCAGCGAAAUGCGAUAAGUAAUGUGAAUUGCAGAAUUCAGUGAAUCAUCGAAUCUUUGAACGCACCUUGCGCUCCUUGGUAUUCCGAGGAGCAUGCCUGUUUGAGUGUCAUGGAAUCAUCAACCCAUACAUCCUUGUGUUGGAUGGGCUUGGAUUUGGAGGCUUCUGCCGGCCCUUGUUGGUCGGCUCCUCUUGAAUGAAUUAGCUUGAUUCCUUGCGGAUCGGCUCCCGGUGUGAUAAUUGUCUACGCCGUGACCGUGAAGCGUUUGGCGAGCUUCUAACCGUCCUAUGGACAAACUUAUCUUGACAUCUGACCUCAAAUCAGGUAG
Molecule: ribosomal RNA, 560 nt
Filed under: Grifola gargal
Lineage: Eukaryota; Fungi; Basidiomycota; Agaricomycetes; Polyporales; Grifolaceae
Description: eukaryotic LSU rRNA
Rfam family: 5.8S ribosomal RNA (bases 189-342)
Source: RNAcentral